AGACAGUUCGGUCCCUAUCUACCGUGGGCGCUGGAAAUUUGAGAGGAUCUGCUCCUAGUACGAGAGGACCAGAGUGGACGAACCUCUGGUGUACCGGUUGUGACGCCAGUCGCAUCGCCGGGUAGCUAUGUUCGGAAGGGAUAACCGCUGAAAGCAUCUAAGCGGGAAGCCUACCUCAAGAUAAGAUUUCCCUAGGACUUUAUGUCCUCUAAAGAGCCGUUCGAGACUAGGACGUUGAUAGGUUGGAUGUGGAAGCAUAGUGAUAUGUGAAGCUGACCAAUACUAAUUGCUCGUGAGGCUUGACUAU
This 307-nucleotide ribosomal RNA is filed under the name Escherichia coli. Its description in RNAcentral is "partial 23S ribosomal RNA". It matches the Rfam family "Bacterial large subunit ribosomal RNA", at positions 2624 to 2925 of the family's 2925-position model. Lineage: Bacteria; Pseudomonadati; Pseudomonadota; Gammaproteobacteria; Enterobacterales; Enterobacteriaceae. The record is from RNAcentral.